AGGACGCUUCCUUCGGGAAGCGAGCGUACACAGGUGCUGCAUGGGCUGUCGUCAGCUCGUGUCGUGAGAUGUUGGGUUAAGUCCCGCAACGAGCGCAACCCUUGCCUUUAGUUGCCAGCAGUUCGGCUGGGCACUCUAAAGGGACUGCCGGUGUUAAACCGGAGGAAGGUGGGGAUGACGUCAAGUCCUCAUGGCCUUUAUGACCAGGGCUACACACGUACUACAAUGGCCGAUACAAAGGGCAGCGACACUGCGAGGUGAAGCCAAUCCCGUAAAAUCGGUCUCAGUCCGGAUUGGAGUCUGCAACUCGACUCCAUGAAGUUGGAAUCGCUAGUAAUCGUGGAUCAGCAUGCCACGGUGAAUACGUUCCCGGGCCUU
This 378-nucleotide ribosomal RNA is filed under the name uncultured Desulfobulbus sp. RNAcentral's name for it is "bacterial SSU rRNA". It matches the Rfam family "Bacterial small subunit ribosomal RNA", at positions 1008 to 1382 of the family's 1533-position model. The record is from RNAcentral. Lineage: Bacteria; Pseudomonadati; Thermodesulfobacteriota; Desulfobulbia; Desulfobulbales; Desulfobulbaceae.